GAUGAACGCUGGCGGCGUGCCUAAUACAUGCAAGUCGAGCGAACGGACGAGAAGCUUGCUUCUCUGAUGUUAGCGGCGGACGGGUGAGUAACACGUGGAUAACCUACCUAUAAGACUGGGAUAACUUCGGGAAACCGGAGCUAAUACCGGAUAAUAUUUUGAACCGCAUGGUUCAAAAGUGAAAGACGGUCUUGCUGUCACUUAUAGAUGGAUCCGCGCUGCAUUAGCUAGUUGGUAAGGUAACGGCUUACCAAGGCAACGAUGCAUAGCCGACCUGAGAGGGUGAUCGGCCACACUGGAACUGAGACACGGUCCAGACUCCUACUGGAGGCAGCAGUAGGGAAUCUUCCGCAAUGGGCGAAAGCCUGCCGGAGCAACGCCGCGUGAGUGAUGAAGGUCUUCGGAUCGUAAAACUCUGUUAUUAGGGAAGAACAUAUGUGUAAGUAACUGUGCACAUCUUGACGGUACCUAAUCAGAAAGCCACGGCUAACUACGUG
RNAcentral lists this ribosomal RNA (497 nucleotides) under uncultured bacterium. Its description in RNAcentral is "partial 16S ribosomal RNA". It matches the Rfam family "Bacterial small subunit ribosomal RNA", at positions 28 to 507 of the family's 1533-position model. The record is from RNAcentral.